Molecule: ribosomal RNA, 439 nt
Filed under: uncultured Bacilli bacterium
Lineage: Bacteria; Bacillati; Bacillota; Bacilli
Description: bacterial SSU rRNA
Rfam family: Bacterial small subunit ribosomal RNA
Source: RNAcentral
AAAGGCGCUUUCGGGUGUCGCUGAUGGAUGGACCCGCGGUGCAUUAGCUAGUUGGUGAGGUAACGGCUCACCAAGCCCACGAUGCAUAGCCGACCUGAGAGGGUGAUCGGCCACAUUGGGACUGAGACACGGCCCAAACUCCUACGGGAGGCAGCAGUAGGGAAUCUUCGGCAAUGGACGAAAGUCUGACCGAGCAACGCCGCGUGAGUGAAGAAGGUUUUCGGAUCGUAAAACUCUGUUGUUAGAGAAGAACAAGGAUGAGAGUAACUGUUCAUCCCUUGACGGUAUCUAACCAGAAAGCCACGGCUAACUACGUGCCAGCAGCCGCGGUAAUACGUAGGUGGCAAGCGUUGUCCGGAUUUAUUGGGCGUAAAGCGAGCGCAGGCGGUUUCUUAAGUCUGAUGUGAAAGCCCCCGGCUCAACCGGGGAGGGUCAUUGG